Long non-coding RNA from Ictalurus punctatus (channel catfish), 901 nucleotides. The record is from Ensembl. Lineage: Eukaryota; Metazoa; Chordata; Actinopteri; Siluriformes; Ictaluridae.
CCGGACUGAGACUGUGAACGUCAUGCUGAGGGGUUGUACAGUCUAAUGGGCUCCAGCUGUUGUGUGUGUGCACUUUGGGCUCCAGCUGUUGUAUGUGUGCUCUUCUUUGGGCUCUAGCUGUUGUGUGUGUGCUCUUCUUUGGGUUCCAGCUGUUGCACGUGUACUCUUCUUUGGGCUCCAGCUGUUGCACGUGUGCUCUUCUUUGGGCUCCAGCUGUUGCACGUGUGCUCUUCUUUGGGCCUGUUGCGUAUAAAAAAUGCAUGAAAUAAACACCAGGGAGACCAAGUAUGAUUAAUAUGUAAGUUUAUUGAGGUUUUACAGACCAAGUAUGAAUAGCAUGUAAUUUUAUCGAGAGUUCACAGGACUGGUGGGAUCAUAAUACUGGGGGGAAUGGUAGGGAGAAAACGGGUGAUAAAAUAGGGUGCGUCCUGGGGACGUGGGAUAGCCAGCCGAGGUAUACUUUGGAGAGUACUCGGGACUGGCAGGUGAGAAAAGGGGAGAAUGGUCAGAGCCCGGGUCAGAGAAGGUCACAUCAUCCUCAGUCUGAUAGCUAGAGGGAGGGUCAGGCAGAGGGUCUGUCUGCAUAGAGGCAUCAAUGCACACAUUCGCGGGGUGGUUUCUGGAUCUGAGAGGUGGGGGGAACCCCGCAUUUCCAGAGGGGGUGCGCAGGACGUCAAGUAGCAUAGUGAUGUCAGCAGUGAGAUGCGCGAGCUGAUAGCGAGUGUUCAGAUCCAAAUCCAGCCCCUCCAGUAAAGGAGAUAAGGAAAAGUGAUGGGCACCUAGGACACACAGAAGCGAAUAAACGGCAUUAGGCGGGUAUUGAUGAAUUGGAUUCACACUUUAAGAUUAACAUUAUGAUUUAUUAUUCACAGAGAAAUAUAGGAGCUGAGGAGUGCAGGCU